Molecule: ribosomal RNA, 492 nt
Filed under: Triticum aestivum (bread wheat)
Lineage: Eukaryota; Viridiplantae; Streptophyta; Magnoliopsida; Poales; Poaceae
Description: partial small subunit ribosomal RNA
Source: RNAcentral
AUGGCUGCCGGUGCAGCGGCGAUCAGCUCGGAGCAGAUGAGCGAGUUCCGGGAGGCCUUCGCCUUCUUCGACAAGGACGGCGACGGCUGCAUCACGGCGGAGGAGCUGUCCACGGUCAUCCUCUCCCUGGGCCAGACCCCGACGCCCGAGGAGCUGCGGGACAUGGUGCGCGACGUGGACGCCGACGGCAACGGCACCAUCGAGUUCGCCGAGUUCCUGGCGCUCAUGUCCCGCAAGGCCGACGCCGACGCGGACGCCAGCGACCCCGAGGAGGAGCUCCGGGAGGCCUUCCGGGUGUUCGACAAGGACCACGACGGCCACAUCUCCAAGGCCGAGCUGGGCCAUGUCAUGAUCAGCCUUGGCGAGAAGCUCACCGACGAGGAGGUGGAGGAGAUGAUCCAGGAGGCCGACCUCGACGGCGACGGCCUCGUCAACUUCGACGAGUUCGUCAGGAUGAUGAUGCUCUCCGACUCCGACCAGCAGCAGCACUGA